AUAUUCUAGACUUCAUUCAAGCCCAUCUUCCCAGUUAAAUACCAUUACAAAUGAACCAAAAAAAGUUAAUGAAAAACGUAUAAACUGCAAGAGAAGUUUAUUGCUUAAGUGGAUGCUUCGGAACAUGGAGGAUACCACUGCCAAACGCUCCAAUCGACGCAGCUUCCAGUUUUCGGAUCGAAUCCAGUGUUCUGCUCGCAGGCAACUAGCUCGGCCUGUCCGGUGCUAGAGCACUGCCAGUAGUGGGUUGGAUCCCAGAAGUCACGGGAAAUCUCUCCGGAGCGUCCCACGCAAUCGGGCUCACCAUUGCCAUCGGGAUUGCAGUCAAGGUCGGCGUAGAUGGCAACGCAGAGGGUCAGGAAGAGAAGGACUAAAGCUGAAACAGAAUUCCGCUAUUGGCAUCUCAAUGGUUUCAGCGAUGUGAGGUCAUCAAUGAAACUCACCUGCUUUCAUUGUGGUUUGUUCGAGUGAUUAAUACCGAAUGCGAUUGGAACGCAACGUUCGACAUUUUAUAGCCACCUGCUAUCUAUUCCCUGACAUAUUGUCUGAGACAAUCGGAGCUAUACAUUCUAUUUCUUAAAGAACAUGAAAUCGUUUAAAAAUAAUCUCAUGAUCACGAUUGGUAUCUGUAUCUCGACAAUUCGAACAUUUGACGCCGUCGUACAAUUCGUUUUCAAACAAAGAAGUAUAUUUCACCAAGUGUUGUAGUAUACUUAGUUAUGAUAUUAAAAUAUUAUUGAACAAAAAAUUUGCAUAUGAUUUGUUUGAAUUGACCGGCUCCUAUUUAGACAAUUUAUACCCUGUAAAACUUUACACACUGAGACACAGUGUUUUUGAAAUAAACAAACAAAUUUUGAAACCAAGCUCUAGUUAAAAAAUAAAGUUGUUUGUAAAAUUAAAGUAU
Molecule: non-coding RNA, 904 nt
Organism: Drosophila melanogaster (fruit fly)
Lineage: Eukaryota; Metazoa; Arthropoda; Insecta; Diptera; Drosophilidae
Source: Ensembl